Molecule: ribosomal RNA, 484 nt
Filed under: uncultured bacterium
Lineage: Bacteria
Description: partial 16S ribosomal RNA
Rfam family: Bacterial small subunit ribosomal RNA
Source: RNAcentral
AUUGAACGCUGGCGGCAGGCCUAACACAUGCAAGUCGAGCGGAUGAAGGGAGCUUGCUCCUGGAUUCAGCGGCGGACGGGUGAGUAAUGCCUAGGAAUCUGCCUGGUAGUGGGGGAUAACGUCCGGAAACGGGCGCUAAUACCGCAUACGUCCUGAGGGAGAAAGUGGGGGAUCUUCGGACCUCACGCUAUCAGAUGAGCCUAGGUCGGAUUAGCUAGUUGGUGGGGUAAAGGCCUACCAAGGCGACGAUCCGUAACUGGUCUGAGAGGAUGAUCAGUCACACUGGAACUGAGACACGGUCCAGACUCCUACGGGAGGCAGCAGUGGGGAAUAUUGGACAAUGGGCGAAAGCUUGAUCCAGCCAUGCCGCGUGUGUGAAGAAGGUCUUCGGAUUGUAAAGCACUUUAAGUUGGGAGGAAGGGCAGUAAGUUAAUACCUUGCUGUUUUGACGUUACCAACAGAAUAAGCACCGGCUAACUUCGUG